Molecule: ribosomal RNA, 263 nt
Filed under: uncultured bacterium
Lineage: Bacteria
Description: partial 16S ribosomal RNA
Rfam family: Bacterial small subunit ribosomal RNA
Source: RNAcentral
UGCCAGCCGCCGCGGUAAUACAUAGGGGGCAAGCGUUAUCCGGAAUUAUUGGGCGUAAAGGGUGCGUAGGCGGUCAUUUAAGUCUUUGGUGUAAGUGCAAGGCUCAACCUUGUGAUGCUAAGGAAACUGGAUGACUUGAGUGUGAUAGAGGUAAGUGGAAUUCCAUGUGUAGAUAUCUGGAGGAACACCGGUGGCGAAAGCGGCUCACUGGCCCGAAUCAGACGCUGAGGUGCGAAAGCUAGGGUAGCGAACGGGAUUAGAUA